CCUACGGGAGGCAGCAGUGGGGAAUUUUCCGCAAUGGGCGAAAGCCUGACGGAGUGACGCCGCGUGGGGGACGAAGGCCUUCGGGUCGUAAACCCCUGUCAGAGGGAGAGAAGGGUCGCGCGGUGAACAGCCGCGUGAUUUGACGGUACCUUCAGAGGAAGCCCCGGCCAACUCUGUGCCAGCAGCCGCGGUAAGACAGAGGGGGCAAGCGUUGCUCGGAAUCACUGGGCGUAAAGGGCGCGUAGGCGGGAUGGCAAGUCGGUCGUGAAAUCCCUCGGCUCAACCGAGGAGCGUCGGCCGAUACUGCCGUUCUUGAGGGAUGCAGAGGAGACUGGAAUUCCCGGUGUAGCGGUGAAAUGUGUAGAGAUCGGGAGGAACACCGGUGGCGAAGGCGGGUCUCUGGGCAUCUCCUGACGCUGAGGCGCGAAAGCGUGGGGAGCAAACGGGAUUAGAUACCCCGGUAGUCCACGCUGUAAACGAUGACGACUAGGUGUGGGGUGGUUCAGUCCAUUCCGUGCCGCAGCUAACGCAUUAAGUCGUCCGCCUGGGGAGUACGGCCGCAAGGUUGAAACUCAAAGGAAUUGACGGA
This 589-nucleotide ribosomal RNA is filed under the name uncultured bacterium. RNAcentral describes it as "bacterial SSU rRNA". It matches the Rfam family "Bacterial small subunit ribosomal RNA", at positions 338 to 917 of the family's 1533-position model. The record is from RNAcentral.